AUAUCAAUGUCUUAAUAUUUGCAUGUUUGUGUAAACUAUAUUUUAAUUUAUUUCAGGUAAUUGUCAAGUCUGGACCAGGAACUUUUCUUAGUCUGGCUGUUUAUGACAAUUAUAUCUUCUGGUCUGACUGGGGACGAAGAGCUAUUUUGCGUUCUAACAAGUACACAGGAGGAGAAACAAAAAUUCUUCGGUCUGAUAUUCCACAUCAGCCAAUGGGAAUCAUAGCUGUUGCUAAUGACACCAAUAGCUGUGAACUCUCUCCAUGUGCAUUACUGAAUGGAGGUUGCCAUGACCUUUGCCUUUUAACACCUGAUGGAAGAGUGAAUUGCUCCUGUAGAGGGGACCGAGUAUUGUUAGCUAACAACAGAUGUGUGAG
This 376-nucleotide long non-coding RNA is filed under the name Cricetulus griseus (Chinese hamster). RNAcentral's name for it is "lncRNA (ENSCGRG00000025356.1)". The record is from RNAcentral. Lineage: Eukaryota; Metazoa; Chordata; Mammalia; Rodentia; Cricetidae.